UAAAGUUCCUCAUGGCACGCAAGUUUGAUGUCUCCCGAGCAAUACACCUCUUCCAGGCAUACAAGAACACGAGGAUUAAGGAAGGAAUCUUCAACAUCAACCCAGAGGAGGAACCUCUUCGCUCUGAACUGCUCAGCGGAAAGUUCACUGUCCUGCCUGGUCGUGAUGCUA
Non-coding RNA from Salvelinus sp. IW2-2015, 171 nucleotides. The record is from RefSeq and is a predicted model, not a curated record. NCBI's taxonomy places the organism in Eukaryota, Metazoa, Chordata, Actinopteri, Salmoniformes, Salmonidae.